RNAcentral lists this ribosomal RNA (463 nucleotides) under Vitta piratica. Its description in RNAcentral is "partial 16S large subunit ribosomal RNA". It matches the Rfam family "Bacterial large subunit ribosomal RNA", at positions 1910 to 2597 of the family's 2925-position model. Lineage: Eukaryota; Metazoa; Mollusca; Gastropoda; Cycloneritida; Neritidae. The record is from RNAcentral.
CAGUGAUUGCUUUUUUAACGGCCGCGGUACCCUGACCGUGCAAAGGUAGCAUAAUCAUUUGCCUUUUAAUUGAAGGCUGGUAUGAACGGUUUGACGAGAGUAAAGCUGUCUCACAUAUACUUAAUAAAAAUUAAUUUAAAGGUGCAAAAGCCUUUAUUGCCCAAAAAGACGAGAAGACCCUGUUGAGCUUUAAUUUAACUCAAGUACUAACUAUAUAUUAAUAUAAUUCACUUGCUUGAUAAAAAUUUUAAUUGGGGCGAUUAAGGAACAUUCAAAAGCUUCCUGACCAUAGAUUAAAUCGAUCCAGCAAUGCUGAUCAACAAAAUGAGUUACCACAGGGAUAACAGCAUAAUUCUUUUUGAGAGCUCAUAUCGAAAAAAGAGAUUGUGACCUCGAUGUUGGACUAGGGUAACCGGAAGGUGCAGCCGCUUUCCCGCUUGGUCUGUUCGACCAAUAAUUCCCU